Molecule: long non-coding RNA, 408 nt
Filed under: Mytilus galloprovincialis (Mediterranean mussel)
Lineage: Eukaryota; Metazoa; Mollusca; Bivalvia; Mytilida; Mytilidae
Source: RNAcentral
CGAAUAUAGUCCUUAGUGUGGACAGUGUGUUACUUGCCAAUUUUUGUUAUACCCCUUCCAAAUUUAUUUCUCCAUGUUUUAUGCCUCAUAUAGCAAGUUGGGGGGUGAAAUGACACUGUAAAAAAAUUUGGGUCAUAAAUAUUAAUGUAAAGUAGUGAUUAGGUCCAGCUGAAAAAGGUCAGAAAUUAGCACUUCGGAAGCUGUCAAAAGAUUUCAAGACCCCCUUAACACAAAAUUGUCCAUAUUUUGAGUUAGAGCUGAUGAAGUUUUCUAUAAUUUUGAUAUAAUUUGUCCCAAAAGUAAUACAACACACUGUAAAAAUAUUAUUGAGAAAGCGCAGGUGGGAUUUUUUUAAUUUUCAUUUAUUGUCUAAAAGAAAUGCACUACGAAAUAACUGUGUACUCGGAC